RNAcentral lists this long non-coding RNA (785 nucleotides) under Apis florea (little honeybee). RNAcentral describes it as "uncharacterized LOC116415404, transcript variant X1". The record is from RNAcentral. Lineage: Eukaryota; Metazoa; Arthropoda; Insecta; Hymenoptera; Apidae.
AAAUUUAUUGUGCGAAAGUGUUUAACGAGUUCGAAAGACUUUAAUCGAUAUUAGUUAUUGUGAAUUAAGAAAGUUGUUCCAAGUUUUAGUGCCUGAUACGAAAGUAAUUCAUCAAAAUCAACGUUACUUCUCAACCAUACAGGAUAUUCUCACCGGAUAUUCUUUCGGCGGUUUGCCCGUGUUUAUGCUGUAAAUCCUCUGGAAAACUUUCAACGCAUCGUCCAUACGACCCUGCGACAUGAGAAACUUUGGACUUUCCGGAAACAUGAAGAGACAAACAACACCGAUCAGUAUUGGUAUACUACAGGCAGAUAAGAAAAAUCUCCAGGAAUUGUAGACAAAUGCUCCGUCCCAAAGAACGAUGGACCACUCUUGAGGAAUGAUGAUCAACGCGAGCGCUAUAACAUGAAUUGAUCCAACUCGUAAACAAAAUGUUUUACAAUCUGUCGUAUAUAUCAUACCUGAGCUUACGAUAUUUCCAAGUGUGAUGCUAAAACCGAUCAGUAAUGGUAUUUUCCCUCUUCCUUUGUUUCCAUAGAAUUCAGAAGAGUACGCCACGAUGGAAGCGUGAGGACCGCUUAUACUGACAUCGCAUUCUGCAGAAGGAAGAAUGAUCCCAACACUGGAAGUGUUAAGGCUUGUUGACCAUGACACAGGAAUAAUUGAUAGAAGAAGAAAAUAUUGAAACUUUCCAUAACCAGCUGCGGUAAUGGCUCUCUCGAAAUUUGCAGACUUCUCCGUUUUAUUUUCUAUAUCUGUUACUUUACAAAUAAAAUUUCUUUACG